This 468-nucleotide ribosomal RNA is filed under the name uncultured bacterium. RNAcentral describes it as "partial 16S ribosomal RNA". It matches the Rfam family "Bacterial small subunit ribosomal RNA", at positions 28 to 507 of the family's 1533-position model. The record is from RNAcentral.
GAUGAACGCUGGCGGCGUGCUUAACACAUGCAAGUCGAACGGAAAGGCCCUGCUUUCGUGAGGUGCUCGAGUGGCGAACGGGCGAGUAACACGUAAGUAACCUGCCCUUGAUUUUGGGAUAACUUCAGGAAACUGGGGCUAAUACCUGCUCGGAGCUCCUGUUGCAUGGCGGCGGUUGGUUAGUAUCGGCGGUUGGGGAUGGAUUCGCGGCUUAUCAGCUUGUUUGUUGGGUAGCCGAUUACCAAGGCUUUGACGGGUAGCAGGCCUGAGAGGGUGACCGGCCACAUUGCGACUGUGAUACGGCCCAGAGUACUACGGGAGGCAGCGGUGGGGAAUAUUGUACAAUGGACGGAAGCCUGAUGCAGCAACACGGCGUGCGGGAUGACGGCCUUCGAGUUGUAAACCGCUUUCGCCUGUGACGAAGCGUGAGUGACGGUACUGGGUAAAGAAGCACCGGCUAACUACGUG